RNAcentral lists this non-coding RNA (145 nucleotides) under pig gut metagenome. RNAcentral's name for it is "SAM riboswitch (S box leader)". It matches the Rfam family "SAM riboswitch aptamer (S box leader)". Rfam says of the family: The SAM riboswitch is found upstream of a number of genes which code for proteins involved in methionine or cysteine biosynthesis in Gram-positive bacteria. The SAM riboswitch acts at the level of transcription termination control. The predicted structure consists of a complex stem-loop region followed by a single stem loop terminator region. The record is from RNAcentral.
CCUUAUCAAGAGUGGCUGAGGGAAUAGGCCCGAAGACGCCCGGCAACCUAGGUGCUUUCACCGGUGCAUGCACAGUUUUGCGUGAUUCCGGAGAAAAGUAGAAAAGGUGCUAAAUCCUACAGAAAUCGAUUUCUGAAAGAUGAGG